This 164-nucleotide ribosomal RNA is filed under the name uncultured bacterium. Its description in RNAcentral is "partial 16S rRNA". It matches the Rfam family "Bacterial small subunit ribosomal RNA", at positions 355 to 511 of the family's 1533-position model. The record is from RNAcentral.
UAGGGAAUCUUCCACAAUGGACGCAAGUCUGAUGGAGCAACGCCGCGUGAGUGAAGAAGGUUUUCGGAUCGUAAAGCUCUGUUGUUGAUGAAGAAGGAUAGAGGCAGUAACUGGUCUUUAUUUGACGGUAAUCAACCAGAAAGUCACGGCUAACUACGUGCCAC